RNAcentral lists this ribosomal RNA (253 nucleotides) under uncultured bacterium. RNAcentral describes it as "partial 16S ribosomal RNA". It matches the Rfam family "Bacterial small subunit ribosomal RNA", at positions 524 to 776 of the family's 1533-position model. The record is from RNAcentral.
UACGUAGGGGGCAAGCGUUGUCCGGAUUCAUUGGGCGUAAAGAGCGUGUAGGCGGCCAGGUAGGUCGGUUGUGAAAACUGGAGGCUCAACCUUCAGAGGUCGACCGAAACCAUCUGGCUAGAGUCCGGAAGAGGCGGGUGGAAUUCCUGGUGUAGCGGUGGAAUGCGCAGAUAUCAGGAGGAACACCAACGGCGAAGGCAGCCCGCUGGGACGGUACUGACGCUGAGACGCGAAAGCGUGGGGAGCGAACAGG